Molecule: ribosomal RNA, 242 nt
Filed under: Escherichia coli
Lineage: Bacteria; Pseudomonadati; Pseudomonadota; Gammaproteobacteria; Enterobacterales; Enterobacteriaceae
Description: partial 16S ribosomal RNA
Rfam family: Bacterial small subunit ribosomal RNA
Source: RNAcentral
UGAGAUGUUGGGUUAAGUCCCGCAACGAGCGCAACCCUUGAUUUUAGUUGCCAGCAUUUAGUUGGGCACUCUAAAGUGACUGCUGGUGCAAGCCGGAGGAAGGUGGGGAUGACGUCAAAUCAUCAUGCCCCUUAUGACCUGGGCUACACACGUGCUACAAUGGAUAGUACAAAGGGUCGCGAAGCCGCGAGGUGGAGCUAAUCCCAUAAAACUAUUCUCAGUUCGGAUUGUAGGCUGCAACU